This 2878-nucleotide ribosomal RNA is filed under the name Bacteroides ovatus. RNAcentral's name for it is "23S ribosomal RNA". It matches the Rfam family "Bacterial large subunit ribosomal RNA". Lineage: Bacteria; Pseudomonadati; Bacteroidota; Bacteroidia; Bacteroidales; Bacteroidaceae. The record is from RNAcentral.
AAGAAAGUAAGCAAGGGCGCAUGGCGGAUGCCUUGGCUCUCGGAGGCGAUGAAGGACGUGAUAAGCUGCGAUAAGCUUCGGGUAGGUGCAAAUAACCUUUGAUCCGAAGAUUUCCGAAUGGGACAACCCGUCAUUCUGAAGGAAUGACAUCUUGCAUAGCAAGAGGCUAACGCAGGGAACUGAAACAUCUUAGUACCUGUAGGAAAAGAAAAUAAUAAUGAUUCCCCUAGUAGUGGCGAGCGAACGGGGAUUAGCCCAAACCAAUGUUGUUACGGCAAUAUUGGGGUUGUAGGACCACGAUGUCGCAAGAAAUUUAGUGAGAAGAAUUCUUUGGAAAAUGAAACCAUAGACGGUGAUAGUCCGGUAUUCGAAGCUAAACGAAGCGUAGUGGUAUCCUGAGUAGCGCGGGACACGAGGAAUCUUGCGUGAAUCUGCCGGGACCAUCCGGUAAGGCUAAAUACUCCCGAGAGACCGAUAGCGAACCAGUACUGUGAAGGAAAGGUGAAAAGCACUUCGAAUAGAAGAGUGAAAUAGUCCCUGAAACCGUGCGCCUACAAGCGGUCGGAGCUGCGUAAGCAGUGACGGCGUGCCUUUUGCAUAAUGAACCUACGAGUUACUUUUUCCGGCAAGGUUAAGCAUUUCAAAAUGUGUAGCCGAAGCGAAAGCGAGUCUGAACAGGGCGAUUAGUCGGAAGGAGUAGACGCGAAACCAAGUGAUCUACCCUUGGUCAGGUUGAAGGUUAGGUAACACUAACUGGAGGACCGAACCGAUAAGCGUUGAAAAGCUUCCGGAUGAACUGAGGGUGGGGGUGAAAGGCUAAUCAAACUUGGAGAUAGCUCGUACUCCCCGAAAUGCAUUUAGGUGCAGCCUUGGGAAUUACUACUGUGAGGUAGAGCGACUGAUAAGAUGCGAGGGCUUCACCGCCUAUCAAGUCUUGAUAAACUCCGAAUGCGCAGUAGUUCGAUCCCAGGAGUGAGGGCAUGGGUGCUAAGGUCCAUGUCCUAAAGGAGAAGAAUCCGGACCAUCAGCUAAGGUCCCGAAAUAAUUGCUAAGUUGAACUAACGAAGUCAGAUUGCUAAGACAGCUAGGAUGUUGGCUUGGAAGCAGCCAUUCAUUUAAAGAGUGCGUAACAGCUCACUAGUCGAGGAGUUUGGCGUGGAUAAUAAUCGGGCAUUAAGCAAUUUACCGAAGCUAUGGGAUCAGUAAUGAUCGGUAGGGGAGCAUUCCACUCAGCGUCGAAGGUGAAGCGUGAGCUUUGCUGGAGCGUGUGGAAAAGCAAAUGUAGGUAUAAGUAACGAUAAAGGGGUGAGAAACCCCCUCGCCGAAAGACUAAGGUUUCCUGAUCAACGCUAAUCGGAUCAGGGUUAGUCGGGUCCUAAGGCUCAGCCGAACGGUGAGGCCGAUGGCAGAACAGGUUAAUAUUCCUGUACUACCUUAAGGAGUGACGUGGAGACGGAGGAGUGAUAGCGCCGCGGACUGACGGAAUAGUCCGUUGAAGGGUGUAGAUGUUGAUCUUUGCAGGCAAAUCCACAAAGAGAGUCGAACCUGAUAGUAUGGAACGUUCUUCGGAACAAUCCAAUAGUGCGUGUAAGCAUACUCCCAAGAAAAUCCGCUAAACUUAAUCUUUAAGGUACCCGUACCGCAAACGGACACACGUAGUCGGGUUGAAUAUACUAAGGCGCUUGAGUGAUUCACGGUUAAGGAACUAGGCAAAUUGACCCUGUAACUUCGGGAUAAAGGGUCCCAACGAGAGUUGGGCGCAGAGAAUAGGUCCAGGCAACUGUUUAACAAAAACACAGGGCUGUGCCAAAUUGAAAGAUUACGUAUACAGCCUGACACCUGCCCGGUGCUGGAAGGUUAAGAGGAGAUGUCAUCGCAAGAGAAGCAUUGAAUUGAAGCCCCAGUAAACGGUACCGUAACUAUAACGGUCCUAAGGUAGCGAAAUUCCUUGUCGGGUAAGUUCCGACCUGCACGAAUGGUGUAAUGAUCUGGACACUGUCUCAACCGUGAGCUCAGUGAAAUUGUAGUAUCGGUGAAGAUGCCGAUUACCCGCGAUGGGACGAAAAGACCCCGUGAACCUUUACUAUAGCUUAACAUUGAAUUUGGGUAAUUGAUGUGUAGGAUAUAGUAGGAGACUUUGAAUCAGGUACGCCAGUAUUUGUGGAGUCGCUGUUGAAAUACUACCUUUGAUUAUUUGAGUUCUAACUCGUAGAUGCGAGGACACUGUUUGGUGGGUAGUUUGACUGGGGUGGUCGCCUCCAAAAGUGUAACGGAGGCUUCUAAAGGUGCCCUCAGGACGAUUGGUAACCGUCCGUAGAGUGUAAUGGCAUAAGGGCGCUUGACUGGGAGACAGACAAGUCGAUCAGGUAGGAAACUAGAGCAUAGUGAUCCGGUGUUUCCGCAUGGAAGGGACAUCGCUCAAAGGAUAAAAGGUACUCCGGGGAUAACAGGCUGAUCCCUCCCAAGAGCUCAUAUCGACGGAGGGGUUUGGCACCUCGAUGUCGGCUCGUCACAUCCUGGGGCUGGAGAAGGUCCCAAGGGUUGGGCUGUUCGCCCAUUAAAGUGGCACGCGAGCUGGGUUCAGAACGUCGUGAGACAGUUCGGUCUCUAUCUAUCGUGGGCGUAUGAAAUUUGCGUGGCUCUGACACUAGUACGAGAGGACCGUGUUGGACUGACCGCUGGUUUACCAGUUGUGCCGCCAGGUGCAUCGCUGGGUAUCUAAGUCGGGAUUGGAUAAGUGCUGAAAGCAUCUAAGUACGAAGCCAGCCACAAGAUUAGAUUUCUUAGGGUCGUUAAAGACGAUGACGUUGAUAGGAUGCAGGUGUAAAGGUGGUAACAUCAAAGCCGAGCAUUACUAAUUGCCCGUUCACUUUCUUUC